UAUUUGUUUAAAGGCUCAAAGGCCAAUAUAAUAACAUUCUAUUACUUGGAGUAUAUAUAUAAAACAUAGACCUGAAAUGCAAGGAAAGCUGGUUUUCACACAGCAAUCCUCAAACUGAGUUUCCUCAAAGAGUAUUCCAGAUCUACAAAAGGUGCACAGGUGGUUAAAAACAUUUGCCAGGUGUGCACAUGUCCCGAAGAACCAGCAACAACCCAACUAAGUUUAUUCAAUAAUGAUCCUUCCGCAGGUUCACCUACGGAAA
RNAcentral lists this unclassified non-coding RNA (262 nucleotides) under uncultured fungus. RNAcentral describes it as "sequence contains ITS1". The record is from RNAcentral. Lineage: Eukaryota; Fungi.